AAGUCGUAACAAGGUAUCCGUAGGUGAACCUGCGGAUGGAUCAUUACCAAUUUUAUAUGUUAGUUUGCGCAUCUCUGUCAAAGGGGGUGUUGCAUAACUACUAUGUAAACGUUGAACUAGAUCAAUUGGUGUGGAUUGCUUGGGAAUGGACGAAGCGAUGAGCCUCUUCCGGACAGGCAAGCCCCACACUGAUAACCUUUUUCAUAUCAUUUACUCGUAUAUACUACCACAACAACAAAAAACAAAAGCUAUAAUAGGACUUAUUAACGGCUGAGUGGGUAACAUCCUCGGCUUAAACAUAUAACUAUUACAACUUUCAGCAAUGGAUCUCUAGGCUCUC
RNAcentral lists this unclassified non-coding RNA (340 nucleotides) under Ramicandelaber sp. RNAcentral's name for it is "partial internal transcribed spacer region". The stretch from base 1 to 46 matches the Rfam family "Eukaryotic small subunit ribosomal RNA", at positions 1786 to 1831 of the family's 1831-position model. Lineage: Eukaryota; Fungi; Kickxellomycota; Ramicandelaberales; Ramicandelaberaceae. The record is from RNAcentral.